GCAAGGCGGUGGGCGGGGCAGCCAGCAGCAAGUAUCGCGAGAACUCGUGUGGCGGAAAGGAAAGUCGGAGCGUGGUGCGGGCGGCAGUCCGGGAGGACGGCAGGAAACCGGGAGGCCGCUCCGGCUGCAGCGCGGGACGGGCGCGCACACCCGAAACCGAUUGGCGGACAACACGGAGGUGGCGAAAGUGUGGGACUCCUGCCUUCCAAGCAGUUUCCUGUUCUCCGUGAAUAAUCCCACCUGGAGUAUCCUGCAGAACCUUCAUGUUCAUCUACUAGCCUGACACCUGGCCUGCAGGACUCUCUCGCACCUGCAUUCGCCCACAGCCAUGUGGACCCCACAUAAUGGACUAAGGACUAUAAUUAGCCUAAUGCUACACCGGACCCAGUUCUACCAUGGAACGGAAACUCUGGACACUGGCUUCACUCUUAGCUCUUCUGAAUCCCCAGCUGCCCAUCUUCCAGGAUGGCUUAAGGGUAAUGGGACUUCGCAAACCUAGAGAUGUAAUUCCAUGCAAAUAAAGAUUACUCAUCCUCCCGU
Myotis daubentonii (Daubenton's bat) is the source of this 540-nucleotide long non-coding RNA. RefSeq lists it as uncharacterized. Lineage: Eukaryota; Metazoa; Chordata; Mammalia; Chiroptera; Vespertilionidae. The record is from RefSeq and is a predicted model, not a curated record.